Podarcis lilfordi (Lilford's wall lizard) is the source of this 72-nucleotide non-coding RNA. The record is from the annotation of a GenBank genome assembly. NCBI's taxonomy places the organism in Eukaryota, Metazoa, Chordata, Lepidosauria, Squamata, Lacertidae.
AGGGUUGUAGCUCAGUGGUUGAGCACCUGUCUUGCAUGCAGAAAGCCCCGGGUUUAAUCCCCAGUAUCUCCA